ACCCCUCACCUGAGUGGAUUCGAUCUUGG
This 29-nucleotide non-coding RNA is filed under the name Cricetulus griseus (Chinese hamster). Lineage: Eukaryota; Metazoa; Chordata; Mammalia; Rodentia; Cricetidae. The record is from RNAcentral.